GGAGAGUUACCCAAGUGGUUCAAGGGGGCGCACUCGAAAUGCGUUAGGGCGGUAACACGCUGCGUGGGUUCGAAUCCCAUGCUCUCCG
This 88-nucleotide transfer RNA is filed under the name Lachnospiraceae bacterium NK3A20. Its description in RNAcentral is "rumen bacterium NK3A20 tRNA". It matches the Rfam family "tRNA". Rfam says of the family: Transfer RNA (tRNA) molecules are approximately 80 nucleotides in length. The record is from Rfam by way of RNAcentral. Lineage: Bacteria; Bacillati; Bacillota; Clostridia; Lachnospirales; Lachnospiraceae.